Molecule: ribosomal RNA, 504 nt
Filed under: uncultured bacterium
Lineage: Bacteria
Description: partial 16S ribosomal RNA
Rfam family: Bacterial small subunit ribosomal RNA
Source: RNAcentral
GAUAAACGCUAGCGGCAGGCUUAACACGUGCAAGUCGAGGGGCAGCAUAGAUUGUAGCAAUACAAUUGGUGGCGACCGGCGCACGGGUGCGUAACGCGUAUGCAACCUACCCGUCACAGGGGGAUAAUCCGGAGAAAUCUGGUCUAAUACCCCAUAACAUAUGGAUCGGCAUCGGUUCAUGUUGAAAUUUUCGGAGGUGACGGAUGGGCAUACGUGGCAUUAGCUUGUUGGUGAGGUAACGGCUCACCAAGGCGACGAUGGUUAGGGGGACUGAGAGGUUUUCCCCCCACACUGGUACGCAGCCAAGGACCAGACUCCUACGGGAGGCAGCAGUGAGGAAUAUUGUUCAAUGGGCGCAAGCCUGAACCAGCCAUGCCGCGUGCAGGAUGACGGCUCAAUGAGUUGUAAACUGCUUUUGUACGAGGGUAAAGUGGGUUACGUGUAACCUUUUGAAAGUAUCGUACGAAUAAGGAUCGGCUAACUCCGUGCCAGCCGCCGCCGUAA